CCUACGGGAGGCAGCAGUGGGGGAUAUUGCACAAUGGGGGGAACCCUGAUGCAGCGACGCCGCGUGGGUGAAGAAGCGCCUCGGCGCGUAAAGCCCUGUCAGCAGGGAAGAAAAUGACGGUACCUGAAGAAGAAGCCCCGGCUAACUACGUGCCAGCAGCCGCGGUAAUACGUAGGGGGCAAGCGUUAUCCGGAUUUACUGGGUGUAAAGGGGGCGCAGACGGCGAUGCAAGCCAGGAGUGAAAGCCCGGGGGCCAACCCCGGGACUGCUCUUGGAACUGCGUGGCUGGAGUGCAGGAGGGGCAGGCGGAAUGCCUGGUGUAGCGGUGAAAUGCGUAGAUACCAGGAGGAACACCGGUGGCGAAGGCGGCCUGCUGGACUGCGACUGACGUUGAGGCCCGAAAGCGUGGGGAGCAAACAGGAUUAGAUACCCCUGUAGUC
Molecule: ribosomal RNA, 440 nt
Filed under: uncultured bacterium
Lineage: Bacteria
Description: partial 16S ribosomal RNA
Rfam family: Bacterial small subunit ribosomal RNA
Source: RNAcentral